Molecule: non-coding RNA, 111 nt
Organism: Saccharicrinis fermentans
Lineage: Bacteria; Pseudomonadati; Bacteroidota; Bacteroidia; Marinilabiliales; Marinilabiliaceae
Source: Rfam
ACCACGCGUUGGUUACGGCAAGAAGUCAGCCGACGCCAUAGUAGUUUCGGAUACGAGCUAGCUAAACGAACACCACGCUUUAGCAGGAAGUCUCACGAAGAAAUGAAGGGC